GAUGAAGAACGUAGCGAAAUGUGAUACUUGGUGUGAAUUGCAGAAUCCCGUGAACCAUCGAGUUUUUGAACGCAAGUUGCGCCCGAAGCCGUUAGGCCGAGGGCACGCCUGCCUGGGUGUCACACAUCGUUGCCCCAAUGCCAAUCGCCUCACUUUGUAGGUAUUUGCUUGGGGUGAAUGUUGGCCUCCCGUGAGCUUUGUCUCACGGUUGGUUGAAAAUCGAGUGCAUGGUGUCGGGUGUACCAUGAUGGAUGGUGGUUGAGUGAUGAUGCUCGAGACCAAUCAUGGGUAACUCCACCAGAAUUGGGCUCGGUGACCCACAUGCGUCCCUUGGAUGCUCCCUAAGGAGACCUCAGGUCAGGGGGGGCUACCCGCUGAGUUUAAGCAUAUCAAUAAGCGGAGGA
Molecule: unclassified non-coding RNA, 404 nt
Filed under: soil metagenome
Description: partial contains 5.8S ribosomal RNA, internal transcribed spacer 2, and large subunit ribosomal RNA
Rfam family: 5.8S ribosomal RNA (bases 1-122)
Source: RNAcentral